GUGGUGAGUCCUGGAGCCCACCCCCGCGAAGAUUCUUCCCGACCCAUAAGGCAGAGGGCCUGCAUGACGUUUUUUCCUCCAAGUUUAAUUACCGUAUGCUAAUUUCCUUGCCUACUACGUGAUUAAUUAAAAUCAUAUUUUCAUAAUCAUUUGGCACCGGCAUUGUUUUAGAAUGAUCAUGAUCUCCUAAAUAGCGUCUGCAAAUAAAGUCGCCUCUAAUGGCAGGCGCGGGAGGCCGGGCUGAGGACCUCUCCGUGUUUGUAUCGCCGCGAUUGGCAACAUAAGUGCCUUAUUUACACUAAAUACGCCACAAGGUUACAGCGCGGAUCAACGUCAUUUGAUCGGUGAUGACUCCCUUAAACGCCGGGGCUGGGACCGCUGCUCCGCGACCCGCCGUCCACCCAGAUGCACCCGGGAGUUCCUUUUCCCCCCAGAAAAGAAACAGACUUUAAAUAGUUUCGGGAGCAGGGACCUGGGACGGCCCUCCCGCAAGCUGUCAGUGCCGGGGCCAGCUGCCUCCUUUCGAGGGUGUUUCUCGCCAGACUGACAGUCCCUACGACAGCAUGCAGUUGAGCUAAGGGAUGGAAGAAGCCAGCCUGUGCCUUGGAGUGUCCA
Myotis brandtii (Brandt's bat) is the source of this 615-nucleotide long non-coding RNA. RefSeq lists it as uncharacterized. NCBI's taxonomy places the organism in Eukaryota, Metazoa, Chordata, Mammalia, Chiroptera, Vespertilionidae. The transcript has 3 exons. The record is from RefSeq and is a predicted model, not a curated record.